UUAAACCGAAUUAACAUUAGGACGAUAAUAAAAAGAUUCAAAGCACAAACCGACGACGGUGACCAUUGUCUUAACCACGUGGCACCUUGUCGGAAACUCAACUUCCAUUGACGGAGGGGAGCGAGAACAAGAAGCAAGCAGAGGUUUCUCUUAUGAUCCUUGAUCGUGCAAGGCAGAUCGAGAUUUGAGGGAUUACGAGUAUCAAUUAUCGUUCUUCCGUUGGACACUGUUUCGGAUCUCACCUCGCAGAUCCUCCACCGUCUCCGGCGUAAUGGAUCCGACUUCUCAACCCGCCAAGAUUUACAAGGAAGAUUCAACAUGGUGCAAGUAAAUCUGAUCAGGAAUAGAUCUUCAUAGGACGACUCAGAUAAUGCAGUUAGGCGUAGAUUUUCAUCAGGCAAAUAGUAUUGUCGGUUGUCGAUUGUCUAUGUAAUCUUUCUCAUAAAUAUAGUGUCAUAAUAAAUCACCGUUAAAAAAAAAAAAUUGUGUGUGAACCGUAAAAGAAAUUAAUCAUGCAUGCAUGCAUCUUCUUUUUCUUUUUUUUUGAAAAAAUGCAUCUUAAUCUUGCAUGAUAACUUAUAACAAAAUAACUGAUGAAUUAUCAUGCAUGCAUCAUCCAUCGUGUUUCUACAAACCAUAAGAGUUUAUAUCUUCUAGUGAUCAGAGUCUAUAAAAUCAUAAAUGAUUUAUGCAUCUAUAAUAUUUUAAGGGCAAAGAGGGUAGAGAGAGAUAGUAAGAGAGAAGAGGAGAGGGUAUAAUUUUGGUUAUAUAAUAAAUUAUGGGUUUUUGUUUGGUUAUAUCACCUAAUUUCCCAUAUUUUAAUGCAUCAUCAGAAUCCAAAAACUCAGAGAGACACAGGUGCUAGCUUUUGCUGAUGGUUGAAGCGUCGUGGUCACUUGAGACCUAAGAUUGCUCUCGUCUUGUCUUCCACUAAGACAUCGUAAUCAAUAAGAUUAAUAGUUUUUUCCAUUUGAAUUCGGUUCAAUUUGAUUGAAAUUUGUUUGGUUUCUUAAAUCAAUCUCGGUUUCGAUUCGGUUCGGUUCACUUAAACCGAAUUAACAUUAGGACGAUAAUAAAAAGAUUCAAAGCACAAACCGACGACGGUGACCAUUGUCUUAACCACGUGGCACCUUGUCGGAAACUCAACUUCCAUUGACGGAGGGGAGCGAGAACAAGAAGCAAGCAGAGGUUUCUCUUAUGAUCCUUGAUCGUGCAAGGCAGAUCGAGAUUUGAGGGAUUACGAGUAUCAAUUAUCGUUCUUCCGUUGGACACUGUUUCGGAUCUCACCUCGCAGAUCCUCCACCGUCUCCGGCGUAAUGGAUCCGACUUCUCAACCCGCCGUUGUCAUCGACAACGGAACGGGGUACGUAAAGUUUCGAUUUUUACAAUCAUGCGGUUAAGGUGUUCGAUAAAAUGCCUCAACCAGAUUCAUUUUGCGUAUUGCAGGUACACGAAAAUGGGCUUCGCGGGCAAUGUAGAACCGUGUUUUAUUCUUCCAACGGUAGUCGCAGCCAACGAGUCUUUCUUGAGCCAACCCAAGAGUUCUUUAAAGGGAACUUGGGCGGCACAGCACAACGCUGGCGUUGCGGCUGAUAUGGACU
RNAcentral lists this long non-coding RNA (1601 nucleotides) under Brassica napus (rape). Its description in RNAcentral is "long non-coding RNA (BNAP_LNC021644)". Lineage: Eukaryota; Viridiplantae; Streptophyta; Magnoliopsida; Brassicales; Brassicaceae. The record is from RNAcentral.